GGGCCUGUACAGGUUUCGACGGGGGUUUUGAAGCUUUAGAAGCGAGCCGCAUGCAAUGCGUUAAAUGGCAAAAUUAAAUAUAAACGCUAAUAGAAAUUUAGCAGUAGCUGCCUAAUUGCAGCUGGUUCCGCCUGAUGCACCUACACAUCAGGGCCGGGGCCUCGACCUUGUAGGAAACGACAUAGACAAAGCUUUGAGUCUGUGGGCGUAUUAUGAAGCUACUAAAGCCGUUUCUUUUGUUUGUUAAAGACGGUUGAGGGAAUUAAUCUUAACAAACUACGCUCGUAGAAGGAGAGUGGAUGGGCUUUCGGACGUGGGUUCGACUCCCACCAGGUCCAC
Molecule: transfer-messenger RNA, 339 nt
Filed under: pig gut metagenome
Rfam family: transfer-messenger RNA
About the family: Bacterial tmRNA, also known as 10Sa RNA or SsrA, is named for its dual tRNA and mRNA-like properties. Its role is to liberate the mRNA from a stalled ribosome.
Source: RNAcentral